AUACGGAGGGUGCAAGCGUUGUCCGGAUUUAUUGGGUUUAAAGGGUGUGUAGGCGGUGUAUUACGUCAGUGGUGAAAGCCUGCGGCUCAACCGUAGAACUGCCAUUGAUACUGACACACUUGAGUUUGGUUGAGGUAGGCGGAAUUUAUGGUGUAGCGGUGAAAUGCAUAGAUACCAUAAAGAACACCGAUAGCGAAGGCAGCUUACUAAGCCGAAACUGACGCUGAGGCACGAAAGCGUGGGGAGCGAACAGGAUUAGAAACCCCAGUAGUCC
This 274-nucleotide ribosomal RNA is filed under the name uncultured bacterium. RNAcentral describes it as "partial 16S ribosomal RNA". It matches the Rfam family "Bacterial small subunit ribosomal RNA", at positions 523 to 796 of the family's 1533-position model. The record is from RNAcentral.